This 18-nucleotide small RNA is filed under the name Arabidopsis thaliana (thale cress). RNAcentral's name for it is "ATSL125790". Lineage: Eukaryota; Viridiplantae; Streptophyta; Magnoliopsida; Brassicales; Brassicaceae. The record is from RNAcentral.
UUUUUUUUCUGUUUGGUU